This 1024-nucleotide ribosomal RNA is filed under the name Hysterothylacium fortalezae. Its description in RNAcentral is "eukaryotic LSU rRNA". It matches the Rfam family "Eukaryotic large subunit ribosomal RNA", at positions 59 to 890 of the family's 3401-position model. The record is from RNAcentral. Lineage: Eukaryota; Metazoa; Nematoda; Chromadorea; Rhabditida; Raphidascarididae.
AAGAAACUAACGAGGAUUCCCCUAGUAACGGCGAGUGAACGGGGAAAAGCCCAGCGCUGAAUCCAUCGGCCACUGGUCGCUUGGAGCUGUAGCGUAUAGGUGCGGCUGUCUGGCCGUUCCGCUUACCCAAAGUCCCCUUGAGCGGGGCCAUUGUCCAUAGAAGGUGCUAGACCUGUACGGGUGGCGGGACAGCCGGUUGGCUGCUCCUUGGAGUCGGGUUGCCUGGGAUCGCAGCCCAAAGUUGGUGGUAGACCUCAUCUAAGGCUAAAUAUGGCCACGAAACCGAUAGCAAACAAGUACCGUGAGGGAAAGUUGCAAAGAACUUUGAAGAGAGAGUUCAAGAGGGCGUGAAACCGCUGAGAUUGAAACGGAUAGAGUUGACGAAACUCGGCUGCAUUCAUUCGGUCGGCUUAGCGGCCCUGCGGCACUCGCUUCCUCGAUGAGGGCGGUGCCGUGGGUAGCUGUUGGGUGCUUGACCGGUGUACUUGCGGCCGGUAUGCGCUGAGGGCCUUGCGGUCGCGUGUUGACAAGUGUGUAGUGGACCACUCCUUCCGGGCGUGGAACCCUCCUCGCUUUGAGGCAUGUCGGCCGUGAGGUUUUGAACGUAAUCGUGUCUCCGCUAUGGUGCACCGGCCUUGCUGAGCUUCUGUGGCUUCGGGACGUCGCAUGCGACGCCUUGUUGUCGGCAGUUGCGUGGCGGGGUUCGGGUGCGUCGAGGCGCGCAUCUCGGUGUGAACGUUGACCACCUAUCCGACCCGUCUUGAAACACGGACCAAGGAGUCUAGCAUAUGCGCGAGUCAUUGGGUGCUAAACCUAAAGGCGUAAUGAAAGUGAAAUUCGUCUCGAUACGAACGAUAUGGGAUCCGUGCUGCUUGCGGGCAGUGCGGCGCACCAUAGCCCCGUCCCCGUUGCUUGCAAUAGGGCGGAGGUAGAGCGCAUACGCUGGGACCCGAAAGAUGGUGAACUAUGCCUGAGCAGGAUGAAGCCAGAGGAAACUCUGGUGGAAGUCCGAAGCGGUUCUGAC